RNAcentral lists this transfer RNA (81 nucleotides) under Pseudomonadota bacterium. RNAcentral describes it as "tRNA-Leu". It matches the Rfam family "tRNA". Rfam says of the family: Transfer RNA (tRNA) molecules are approximately 80 nucleotides in length. Their secondary structure includes four short double-helical elements and three loops (D, anti-codon, and T loops). Lineage: Bacteria; Pseudomonadati; Pseudomonadota. The record is from RNAcentral. RNAcentral also lists the same sequence under 3 other names.
GCCCCGGUGGCGGAAUUGGCAUACGCGGCAGUUUGAGGGGCUGUGCCGAAAGGCGUGAGAGUUCAAGUCUCUCCCGGGGCA